RNAcentral lists this ribosomal RNA (255 nucleotides) under uncultured bacterium. RNAcentral describes it as "partial 16S ribosomal RNA". It matches the Rfam family "Bacterial small subunit ribosomal RNA", at positions 524 to 776 of the family's 1533-position model. The record is from RNAcentral.
UACGUAGGGUGCGAGCGUUGUCCGGAAUUAUUGGGCGUAAAGAGCUCGUAGGCGGUCUGUCGCGUCGAUCGUGAAAACUUGGGGCUUAACCCUGAGCUUGCGGUCGAUACGGGCAUGACUGGAGUUCGGCAGGGGAGACUGGAAUUCCGCGUGUAGCAGUGAAAUGCGUAGAUAUCCGGAGGAACACCGGUGGCGAAGGCGGCUUCCUGGACCGAUUACUGACGCUGAAACGCGAAAGCUAGGGGAGCGAACGGG